RNAcentral lists this ribosomal RNA (402 nucleotides) under bacterium. RNAcentral's name for it is "partial 16S ribosomal RNA". It matches the Rfam family "Bacterial small subunit ribosomal RNA", at positions 355 to 776 of the family's 1533-position model. The record is from RNAcentral.
UGGGGAAUUUUGCACAAUGGGGGAAACCCUGAUGCAGCGACGCCGCGUGAUUUAGAAGGCCUUCGGGUUGUAAAAAUCUUUUUUACGGGAUGAAAAUGACAGUACCGUAAGAAUAAGGUCCGGCUAAAUACGUGCCAGCAGCUGCGGUAAUACGUAUGGACCGAGCGUUGUCCGGAAUCAUUGGGCGUAAAGGGUACGUAGGCGGCCUAGUAAGUUAGAAGUGAAAUAAUAUAGCUCAACUAUAUAAAGCUUUUAAAACUGCUAGGCUUGAGAGAUGGAAGGGAAAGUGGAAUUCCUAGUGUAGCGGUGAAAUGCGCAGAUAUUAGGAAGAAUACCGGUGGCGAAGGCGACUUUCUGGUCAUCAUCUGACGCUGAGGUACGAAAGCGUGGGUAGCAAACAGG